AGGAAUUUCCCAAAAUCAGAAAUGAGAUUAGCCCAGAAAGAAAUGAGGCAAAACAGAGAGUGUGGGGUUUUGUUUCAAGAAGGUUGCCCCUCUCUGCUCCGCUGUUGAUUUUCCUCUAUUCACUGAAAAACUAACAACCUUGUCAUGGAAAUAACAGAAACAAGAAUUGAAAAUUGUAACUAAACAAUAUUGCUCCUCCUAGUACUACUGUAUAUCUUUCUUUCCUCUGUGUGUUGUUUUUUUGGUGUUUAUGGAAGGUACAUAAAGAGGCAAUGAUGAUGAUGUUUUUCUAUCUGGGCUAACUAAUUCGGGCAUGGAGAUUAUCUGACCCGUAUCUUGGCUUGGCAACGUGGUAUAGCCUGUGCCUUAGACUUCCCUCUCUCACAUGCUGCUAUACCUGCUGAAUGAAAUCAUUGAUCCAAUUCUCAGUCAAUAAGUAGGUGUUUCAACUUCUGGGAAUCAAACCCUGGUCUCUUGAGUUAGAGCCAAAUAUCCUAGCUGACUAGACUACAAUGGAAAAACAAGGCAAAAUGAAAGAGGCUGUGAUGAUAAUUCGUGUACACAUGGUUUUGGGAUUGAGUAAAAGAGGCUAGCUUCUUGGCGUGGCAACCCGAUUUGUAGGUGCUUUGAGGUCACAUGCAACUUGGGUUGCAGCCAUGGCGGUUCUGCUCAUUUUCUAGUGCUAGAGUACAUAUCUGAGCUUCCUUCAUAUUCUAGGUUGUGUUGACCUUCUUGGCUCUAAAAGGUACAGUGGUAAAUGGACAUCCUAUCAAAACGAUCCUGUUUAAAUUAAGCUGGAAAUGUGUUUGUAUUCUUGAAAACAUAUGCUUUAUACUAUGGCUUAUCAGCAAACUUAAAGGAUUAUUUUGAACCUAACCUCGAACAUAAGGGACCAUUUUUGUCAUUUUCUCCUUUAUCCUUUAAAAAUGUUUCUCUUCUGAUUCUCCUUUGGCACGCAGCAAAAAGCUAAAAGCUCAGAGAAAAAGAAUGAGGGUUGCAGUGAGUAGAGGGGAAAGUUCAAAAGGCUAUUGCUCCUCUUUGCACUGCCUGUGAUUUCAUUUUUUGCUGAUUUUUUUUUUCAACAGCCCCUUUCCGGUUAACCAGUACCAAACGACCCCUAAAGUAUUUGCUUGUUCUCCAAUGUGAGAAUCAUAUAGUAAUAAUAAUUGUAGCGAAAUUCUGAGGCCGUGAUGAUCAUUUUCUUCUUAAAUUCUCUGAGCAAAUCAAUUAGGGAGGAGAGUAAUUGGACCCGUAUCUUGGCAGCGCGACCCGGAUGGCAGGUGAACUGCAACCGGUGCUUGCGGGCAUAGUGGUGAUUCCAGUCUCUCUUCCCUAUCGUAAGUAGAUCUGAGCCCCAAUGUUUGAUUUUUCUUAAAAAGGAUAGCCCUAAAAAGAAGACAUGAGGCAGAACAGAGAUCAUUGGGAUUCUUUUUGAAGGGUGGUUGCCACUCUCUGUUCCGCCAUUGAUAUUUCUCCAUUUUCAAACAACGAACAGCCCUUGUAAAAACAGAACCAUACAGGAUUUAAGUCAUAUAUACCGUCGGUCGCCUAUGUGUGUGUGUGUAUUUUGUAUUUUUGGGUGUGAUGGAAGGUUUGUAAAGAGGCAGUGAUGAUGAUGAUGUUUCUAUAUCUGGGUUAACCGAUCCGGCAUGGAGAUGACCCGACCCAUAUCUUGGUGUGGCAACCCGGUAUGGCCUGUGACUGAGACUUCUGUUUCGCACAUGCAACCGGUGUUUGCAGCCAUGGUGUAGUUGGCUUCUCUUUUGCCUUAUCAUAACACUCAUCUGACCUCAUUUGAUUGAAAAGAAAGGGAAAAAAAGAACCUUUUUAAAAAGUAAAAAAUAAAAAAGAUUCUUUUCCUGGGUUCAAUAAUGGGAUAUGCUGAACGUGCAACUUUCCGAGGCUCCUCUUGGUUAUUGAUUCAUUGAUCUGAUUAUAUGCAAAGGAUGUGUGUGUGUGUGUGUGUUUAUUUUAUGUUGUUCAUUCUUGGCUGUGUUUUCAACAGUGUACAAAUACAAAACUGUGUUUGUAAAAAGAAACACGCAAAAGGAAGUUUAGAAAGAGAGGCUAUGGUGACAAUUCUAAUGGGCACAUGGAAGUUGGCACUGAGUUUAAGAGGCCGUUCUUGGAGGGCAACCUGGUUUUGUAGUUUGCAUACACAGUGGAAAACCUAUUACAUGUCUGCGUUGAAAUUUCAGCUCUGAAGAAUGAGGCAUCGGAGAAAUUGGUAUUUUCUGUAAAGGGUGGUUGCCCAUCUCUGCUUUGCCGGUGAUUUGUUUCUAAAAAACCAACGGCCCUCUGAAAUAAUCAAGAAAAACAUAUAGAAACUUCAUCCAAACACCCCCCUAUACUCUGCUUGUUCUUUCUCUUCCUCUGUCUCUUUGUGCUGCUGCUGCUACUACUAAUGUUGUAGAUGGGCUGUGAUGAUUGCUUUCCUCUAUGGGCUAUGCUCAACAAUCAUGGCAUUUAGGGAAUAUCUGAUCCGUAUCUUGGCAGGGCGACCCGGUUACGGCUUUGAAUAGCAAACUGGUGUCUGCAGCCAUGGCGGCGUCGCUCUUCUCUUUUGCUUUGUUCAAAUACAGCAAAUCUGAGCCCUCAAUAACCCAUUCAGGUCGGAAAACCCAUUAUGGGUUUAAGUUGAAAUUUAAGCUCUGAAGAAUGAGAUAUCAGAGAAUUUGGGAUUUUCUGUAAAGGGUGGUUGCCCAUCUCUGCUUUGCCAGUGAUUUCUCCAUUAAUGGACCGAAAAAACCAAGAGCCCUUUGAAAUAAACAAGAAAAACAGAAGCUUCGUACCAAACACCCCUACUCUACUUGCUCUUCCUCUGUCUCAUUGUGCUGCUGCUGCUGCUACUUUCCUAAAGGGGCUAUGAUGAUUUCUUGGUUCCUUUCUGGGCUAUGUUCAAUCAUGGCAUUGAGAAAAGCCUGACCCGUAUCUUGGCAGGGCAACCCGGUUACGGCUUUGAAUGGCAAACUAGUGUCUGCAGCCAUGGCAGCGUCGCUCUUCUCUUUCGCUUUAUUAAGAAAUACGGCAAAUCUGAGCCCUCAAAUAAUCAUGUUCUUUGAUCGUGAGUCCAUUCUCGGUCGGAAAUUUCCCCAGAAAUGGAAAAAUGGUUAUCCCAGAAAUGAGGCAAAACAGAGAGUUUGGGAUUUUCUUUGAAGGGCAAUUGACCCUCUCUGUUCUGCCAUUGAUUUUCCUCCAUUAUCAAACAACCAACAGCCCUUUGUUUUAUGAGAAAGCAACAAUAUACCCAGUGGGAUUCGGGAACGGUGGGGUGUAUUUAGGUCUUACCCCUAGGUCUUACCCCUACCUUUGCGGGAUAGAGAGGCUGUUCCAAUAGACCCUGGCUCAAGAAAUAGCAUUUUCAAAACAUUUUUGAGUGUUUUAUGAGAAAAGCAAAAGAGAAAAUGGAAAAUUAACUUAUAUACAAUCUUGCUUGUGUGUGUGUUUUCAGUGUUUGAUGGUAGGUACAUAUAGAGGCAGUGAUGAUGGUGUUUCUAUGUUUGGGCUAACCGACUCAGGCAUGGAGAUAACCCGACCUGUAUCUUGGCGUGGCAAUCCUGUAAGGCCUGUGAUUGAGACUUCUCUCUCCCAUGCAACCGGUGGUUGCAGCCAUGGCGUGGUUGGCUUCUCGUCUGUGUUAUCAUAACAUACAUCUGAGCCCCAUUUGCUUGAAAAGAAAGAGGAAAAAAAAUAGAAUCUUUUGCAUAAUCCAAUGUUGGAAUAUGUUGAACCUGCGAUUUUCUGCUACAAGCUAUAAAUCAUCUUGCAGUCCUAAUGUAUCAUCAUAUUUGUUCAGUUUUAGCUGAGCAUAGCCUAGAAAGAAAGAAGAAUGAGGGAUCAAAGAGAUUGAGAUUUUCUGUAAAGGGUGGUUGGCCCUCUCUGAUAUGCCCAUGAAUCCUCCAUUGAUAACCAAAGAGACCAGCCCUUCUAAAUGAACAAGAAAAUAAUUUUUUAAUUUUUUGAUGAGGAAUGGUCAUUUAAUGGAUCUUAAUGGGUUAGCCAGGGACAUUGAUUGUGAUCAUGUUGGCACAUAUUUAACCAGCUUUGUUGAUGAUGGCACUGUUGUACUCCCUUGCACGCAGAACAAUGCUCGAAUUGCUUAAAGAUGGUGGUUUUGCAAUAUCCAAUCCAGAAAUUGACACAAUCCUUCAAGAAUUCAGAGAGAAUAUAAUAUCCGCCCUUAUCAAUGAGGUCAGUUGUUUUAUCAAGGAAGCUACAUAUUUGAUCUCUGCUCUACUUCCAAGGAGCAACCAUUCCCUUGUUUCCUUCCUACUUCUCACGAUAAUAACACAAACACAAUAGAAGAUUGCAGAAAGAAAAUAUAGUCAAUUCUAUUAAUGAAAAAAAUGUUUCAUUGUUACAAUUAAUGAUGUCUACAAGUAAGCACUUCAAAACUGAUGCUGAAACUUCAAUUGAUUUUCAGCCAUAUGCCCUUCAUUCCACCACCCUAAAUGUUUUGCCCUCUUUAUAAACACAAGUUCUACUAGUGAAGCUACAAGUUGAGCAUAGCCUAGAAAGGAAGAAGAAUUGAGGCAUCAGAGAAAUUGGGAUUUUCUGUAGAAGGGUGGUCUCCCCUCUCCGCUUUGCCAGUGAUUUCUCCAUCGCUGACCAAAAAAAACCAACAACCCUUUGAAAUAAACAAGAAAAACAAAAACUUCAUGCCAGAAACAAACCACUAUACUCUUCCUUUUUCUCCACUCUUUGUGCUGCUGCUGUUGCUAGUUGCUACUGAUGUGUUGUAAAUGGGCUAGGCUAUGUUCAAUCAUGACAUUGAGAAAAAUCCAACCCGUAUCUUGGCAGGGCGAUCCGGUUACGGCUUUGAAUAGCAAACUGGUGUCUGCAGCCAUGGUGACGUCGCUCUUCUCUUUUGCCUUGUUAAGAAAUACAGCAAAUCUGAGCCCUCAAUAACCAUUUUGGGUUGUUGAAAUUUGAAGAAAUUGCACGGUUCGCCUUUCAAACGGACUGGUCUUUAAUUUUUGCCCUUCAAAUGCGUUCAGCUUCGAAGAAUGAGGCAUCCGUGAAAUUGGGAUUUUCUGUCAAAGGAUGGUUGCCCAUCUCUGCUUUGCCAGUGAUUUCGCCAUUGAUGACCAACAGACCUUUAAGCAAGGAACAUAAAGAGGUUUAACUAUAUGUGCACUGAGGUAUCUGUGUUUCUUCUGUACAUGUGUGUGUGUUUUUCGGUGUUGAUGAAAGAUACAUAAAGGGGCGUACAUAAAGAGGCAGUGAUGAUGCUUCUAUGUCUGGGCUAACCAAUUUGGGCAUUGAGAUUACCCAACCCGUUUCUUGGUGUGGCAACCCGGUAUGGCCUGUGACUGAGACCUGUCCCUCACAUGCAACCGUGUGUGCAGCCACGGCUUGGUUGGCUUCUCUUUUGCCUUAUCAUAACACAUAUCAGAGCCCUGUCUGCUUGAAAAGAAAAAAUAUAGAAUCUUUUCCGUGAUUCAAUGUUACAAUAUGUAGGACCUUUCUGCUACAAGCUGUAAAUCAUCUUGCAUGUCCUAAUGUAUCAGCAUAUUUGUCCAGUAUCAACUGAACAUAGCCUUGAAAGGAUGAAUAAUGAGGAAUCAGAGAGAUUAGGAUUUUCUGUAAAGGUUGGUUGCCCCUCUCUCCCAUGCCAGUGAUUUCUCCAUUGAUAACCAAAAGAUCAACAGCCCUUUGAAAUAAACAAGAAAAAAGAAAAACAAUAAAAUUUGGAACUGUCUGGCCAUGAGAAUUAUUAGUGAAGCUACAAGGUGAGCCUAGCCAGAAUGAGGCAUCAGAGGAAUUGGGAUUUUCUGUAAAAGGGUGGUUGCCCAUCUCUGCUUUGCCAGUGAUUUCUCCAUUAAUUGACCAAGAAACCAACAGUCCUUUGAAAUAAACAAGAAAAAAAGAAGAAAUUGCACUGUUUGCCCUUCAAAUUGGCUGGUCUUUCACCCCUAUACUCUUCUUGCUCUUCCUCUUUCUCCUGUAUCUGUGCUGCUACUAAUGUUGUAAAUGGCUGUGAUGAUUGCUUGUUUUCCUCUAUGCGCUAUGCUCAAUAAUGGCAUUGAGAAAAAUCCGACCCGUAUCUUGGCAGGGCGACCCGGUUAUGGCUUUGGUAUAGCAAACUGGUGUCUGCAGUGAUGGCGGUGUCGCUCUUCUCUUUUGCUUUGUUCAAAUACAGCAAAUUUGAGCCCUCAAUAACCAUUUCGGUCGGGAAACCCAUUACAGCUUGUUGAAAUUUGAAGAAAUUGCAUGAUUUGCCCUUCAAACGGACUGUUCUUUAAUUUUUGCCCUUCAAAUGGGCUCAGCUUCGAAGAAUGAGGCAUCGGAGAAAUUGGGAUUUUCUGUAAAGGGUGGUUGCCCAUCUCUGCUUUGCCAGUGAUUUCUCCAUUAAUGGACCAAAAAAACCAACAACCCUUUGAAAUAAACAAGAAAAACAAAACCUUCAUACCAAACACACCCCUAUCUCUUUCUCUUUGUGCUGCUGCUGCUGCUACUGAUGUUGGUAGAGGGGCUGUGAUGAUUGCUUGCUUUCCUUUCUGGGCUAUGUUCAAUUACGGCAUUGAGAAAAUGUCAGACCCGUGUCUUGGCUGGGCGACCCGGUUACGGCAUUUGUACAAAAAACUGGUGUCUGCAGCCAUGGCGGUGUCGCUCUUCUCUUUUGCUUUGUUAAGAAAUACAGCAAAUCUGAGCCCUCAAUAACAAUUUCGGGUUGAAAAAUCCGUUAUGGGUUGUUGAAAAUUGAAGAGAUUGCAUGGUUUGCCUUUCAAACGGACUGUUCUUUAAUUUUUGCUCUUCAAAUGGGCUCAGCUUCAAAGAAUAAGGCAUCGGAGAAACUGUGAUUUUCUGUAAAGGGUGGUUGCCCAUCUCUGCUAUGCUAGUGAUUUCACCACUGAAGACCAAAAAAACCAACAGCCCUUCAAACAAGGAACAUAAAGAGGUUUGACUGUAUGUACACUGAGAUAUCUGUGUUUCUUCUGUGUAUGUGUGUGUGUUUUACAGUGUUGAUGUACAUAAAGAGGCAGUGAUGAUGAUGUUCCUAUAUCUGGGCUAACCAAUUCGGACAUCGAGAUGACCCGACCCGUAUCUUGGUGUGGCAACCCGGUAUGGCUUGUGACUGAGGCUUCUGUCUCUACCAUGCAACCGGUGUUUGCAGCCAUGGCGUGGUUGGCUUCUCUUUUGCCUUAUCAUAACACACAUCUGAGCCCCAUUUGCUUGAAAGGAAAAAAAUAGAAUCUUUUCCGUGAUUCAAUGUUGGAAUAUGUAGAACCUUUCUGCUACAAGCUAUAAAUAAUCUUGCAAGUCCUAAUGUAUCACCAUAUUUGUUCAGUAUCAGCUGAACAUAGCCUUGAAAGGAUGAAGAUUGAAGAAUCAGAGAGAUUAGGAUUUUCUGUAGAGGGUGGUUGCCCCUCUCUGCUAUGCCAGUGAUUUCGAUUGAUAACUAAAAAAUCAACAGCCCUUUGAAAUAAACAAGAAAAAGAAAACAAUAAACUUUGGAGCUGUUUGGCCAUGAGAAUUAUUAGUGAAGCUAGUGAAACUAUAAGUUGAGCAUAGCCAGAAUGAGGCAUCAGAGAAAUUGGGAUUUUCUCUAAAAGGGUGGUUACCCCUCUCUGCUUUGCCAGUGUGAUUUCUCCAUUAAUGCACCAAAAAAACCAACAACCCCUUUAAAAUAAACAAGAAAUAAAAAGAAACUGUAUGGUUUGCCCUUCAAAUGCUCUGGUCUUUCACCCUUAUACUCUUCGUUUUUCUCCUUUCCUCUCUUUGUGCUACUGCCACUAAUGUUGUAAAUGGGCUGUGAUGAUUGCUUGCUUUCCUUUCUAGGCCAUGUUCUAUUAUAGCAUUGAGAAAAAUAUGACCCUUAUCUUGGCAGGGCGACCCUGUCACGGCUUUGAAUAACAAACUGGUGUCUGCAGCCAUGGCAACGUCUCUCUUCUCUUUUGCUUUGUUCAAAUACAACAAAUCUGAGCCCUCAACAACCCAUUCGCGUCGGAAAACGUUUGCGUGGGAAUUUCAGCUCUGAAGAAUGAUUCUCUUAGUAGGCAUUUGGCCAUAGAUUCCAAAUAUUUUCACUAAAAGCUGAGAGGAAAAGAAUAAGGGUUGCAGAGAGUGGAGGGGAAGUUCAAGGGGCUGUUGCUCUUCUCUGCAAUACCCGUGAUUUCAUUUUUGCUGUGGAAAAAAUAAAUUCAACAGCCCUUUUACAGUUAAACAGUAACCAAACGACCCCUGAAGCUUUUUUUUUUUUUCCCCGCUGAUCAUCUUCAAAUUCUCCCUCCCAAAAGGAGAAUCAAUAGUAACAAUAAUAAUAAUAUUGUAGCAAAAAUUCUGAGGCUGUGAUGAUGAUGUUCUUAUUUCUUUCCCUGAGCGAAAUCGAUAGGACAGGAGAAUAAUUGGACCCGUAUCAUGGCGGGGCAACCCGGAUGGCAGGUGAGCUGCAACCGGGCUUGCAGCCAUGGCAGCGGUUCCAAUCUCUCUUACCGUAUCAUAAGUAUUACAGAUCUGAGCCUCGAUGUGUAAUUUUUUUUUACGGAAAAGGGUCAAAUAUACCCCCGUACUAUCAGAAAUAGUUUAAAUAUACCCCUCGUUAUACUUUCGGUCCAAAUACACCCUUUCCAGAAUUUGUCCUUGAGUUUGAGGAGGGAUACAUGUUGGGCUCAGAAUCAAAUGACCCACCCCAAUUUUAAAUAUCUGAUUCCUUUAGAAACCCACUCAUUUAAUCCGACCGUACCCAUUUUCUUUUCUUCUUCUUGUAAAUACAGCUGGGAGAUGACCCGACACGUAUCUUGGCCGGGCAAGCCGAGCGGCAGGUGACCUGAAACCGGUGUUUGCAGCCAUGGUGGUGUCUUCAAUCUCUUGCUGUAUGGUACUUAUUACGAGAAAAAGCCCAAAAUCAUCCCUUAUCUUUGAGCUUAGACUCAAAGUCAUCCUUUGUUUUUUCAUAUGGAGCACUAAUAGUACUCAUCUUUACAAUUUUGGUGCACUUUUAGUCCAAGAGAGAGAAGUCUUGGGAAGCCUCAAUGUUUGAUUUUCUUAAAUGCAGCUGGGAAAUUCGCAUACAUGAGAAUUUCCUUGUGUGUUUACUGUGUUGAUGGAAUGUUUCUAUAUCUGCGCUAACCAAUGCGGGCAUCAGAUGACCCAACCCGUAUCUUGGCGUGGCAACCGGUAUGGCUUGUGACUGAGACUUCUAUCUCUCACAUGCAACCGGUGUGUGCAGCCAUGUUGUGGCUGGCUUCUCUUUUGCCUUUUCAUAACACACAUCUGAGCUCAGUUGCUUGAAAGGAAAACCAAAAAAAAAAAAAAAAAAAACUUUUUCGUGAUUCAAUGUUGGAAUAUGUAAGCUAUAAAUCAUCUUGCAAGUCCUAAUGUAUCACCAUAUUUGUUCAGUUUGAACUGAACAUAGCCUUGAAAGGAUGAAGAAUGAGGAACCAGAGAGAUUAGGAUUUUCUGUAAAGGGCGGUUGCCCCUCUCUGCUAUGCCAGGGAUUUCGAUUGAUAACCAAAAAAUCAACAGCCCUUUGAAAUAAACAAGAAAAAGAAAAACAAUAAAAUUUGGAGCCGUUUGGCCAUGAGAAUUAUUAGUGAAGCUACAAGUUGAGCAUAGCCAGAAUGAGGCAUCAGAGAAAUUUGGAUUUUCUGUAAAAGGGUGGUUGCCCCUCUGCUUUGCCAGUGAUUUCUCCAUUAAUGAACAAAAAAACCAACAGCCCUUUAACAACGAACAUAAAGAGGUUUGACCGUGUUACACUGAGAUAUCUGUGUUUCCUCUGUGUAUGUGUGUGUUUUACGGUGUUGAUGAAGGUACAUAAAGAGGCAGUGAUGAUGAUGUUUCUAUAUCUGGGCUAACCAAUUCGGGCAUGGAGAUAACCCACCUGUAUCUUGGUGUGGCAACCCGAUACGGCCUGUGACUGAGACUUCUGUCUCUCGCAUACAACCGGUGUUUGCAGCCAUGGCGUGGUUGGCUUCUGUUUUGCCUUAUCAUUACAUCUGAGCGCCAUUUGCUUGAAAAGAAAGAAAGAAAAAGAAUCUUUCCAUGAUUCAUUCAUUUGUCCUCACUGGCUGUGUUCCAAAGCAAUGAACUGGAAAAGGGGAAACAACAGGGCUGUGAUGACAAUGUUAGCUAAUUAAAAGAAGUAACAAUGGAGGUUGAGCCCAGAAGGAAGAAUGAGGCCAACAGGGUAAGAGAGACUUUUAGGAGGGCGGUUGUGCCCUCUGUUUGGCUUAUGAUUUCUCAAUUAUAACAAAAUUAACAGCCCCAUUCUUUCUUUCCUCGAAGGAAACCAAGAAAGUAAAUAAUCUAGCGCCUUCGCCGUCAGGCGUUACUGGAUCUUUAGUCCAAAACUUCCACAAUUUCUUGAAACCUAUAGAAGAUUAACCAUUUUCUGUAUGCAUGUUUCUGCACGAGUAUAUGUGGAUUUGUGCUUAUGUUUCAGGCGUCUUAAUUUGUCCUCACUGGCUGUGAUGAUAAUGUUAGCUAAUUAAAAUCGGGCAUUAGAUUUUUGUUGCCCUGUAUCUUGGCAUGGCAACUUGAAUUUGUGCAAUUUGCAGCCAUGGCAGGUGCCAGAAAACUCGAUGCCUGUGAUACAAAUCUGAGCCUCCAGUUGAUGGCAAAGCAUUAACACUAGUACUAGUAUUACUUGGACUCAGUCUGAGUUAUGAGUUUUUAAUCCAAAGUAUCCUAAUUUCUUGAAAAUUAUGCAACCAUUUUCUCAAAGUGGCAGUGAUGAUAUUUGCUUAUCUAGGCUUCAGGAAUAGAGACAAUUGGACCCAUAUCUUGGCUUGGCAAACCCCAGAUGCUAUGUGAUUUGAGGCUUCUCUUUCACAUGCAACCGGUACUUUUGCAGCCAUUGCGUGGUCUCCUCUUUGCCCCCUUAAUAACUCAGAUCUGAGCCUCGAAAUUGCAAGUGCUUCUUGACAUUGUUUGGUAGAAAUGCGAACUAUAUAUUUUGUUCAUUCAGUCAGUUUUGCUGGUAGGUCCUUUCUUGCUGCUGCUACUGAUGAUUCUCUUAUCUUGCUGCUGCAUGGCUGCCUGAACUGCAUGACUGCCUGAAAACCUAAAGAGCGAGAAUCAUACUAGAAAAAGGUGAAAAAUUGAGGCAGUGAUAUGGUUCUUGACAAAUGGCAUAUUUUGCAUUGAGAUGAUAUUAAGACUCGGUAUCUUGGCAGGGCAAUCUGCUCAAGGUUGCAGCCAUGGCAUUUCUGAGUAAAUACUUGAUCAUAGAGAGAUCUGAGCCUUGUAUCAAGUACUAAUACUCAUAAUCCCUUUUUUUAAUAUUUUCUCCCCCCUCUUUUCUCAGGACUGCAGUAAAUUCACAGCAAGUGAAUGAGAUUUAGAUAAUCCUAUUUGUAUAUAUUAUUUAGAAAUUAUCCACAAUAUUUUGUUACCUGAAAUUUAAUACUUCCCGAGAUGGCCAGAAGGAAGAACGAGGCCAACAGGGGCAGGAGGGACUUCUAGAGGGUGGUUGCCCCCCUCUGUUUGGCCUAUGAUUUCUCCAUUAAUACAACCAACAGCCCUCUUCCUCUUUAUUUAACCAAAUAUCUGGCGCCUUCACCGUUAGGCGUUACUGAAGUCUCAAUCUGAGAUUAGUCCAAAAUUUCCACUGUUACUUGUUAAAUAUGGAAAAGAAUCACCAUUUUCUGAAAGAGGCAGUGAUGAUACCUGCAUAUCUGGGUUAAACCAUCGGGACAUAGAAAUUCUGACCCAUAUCUUGGCUUGGCAAACACCAGAGUGGCUGUGAUACGAGGAUUCUCUUUCACGUGUUGUCGGUUUUGUGCAGCCAUGUUGCGGUCUCUUUCUCUUUGCCUCGUUUGGAACUCGCAUCUGAGCCUCAUUUCCAGUUAGUCCAACUGGACAGCUGGGGAUCAGACACGAGACCUUUGACUGAAACCCAUUUUGUGUUGUUUCAGUAGCUCAAAGAUGAGAGAUCAGAAAGAAAAGGUGAUUUUUUCUUUUGGCAAGAAAUAAACAGCACCCUUUUUUUAUGCCAACCAUUGAUUAGUCUUCAAUGGAAGGACGUUCUCUGGAACUGGGAAUUCAUCAGUUUUGUGUGUUACUG
Molecule: long non-coding RNA, 12007 nt
Organism: Lycium ferocissimum
Lineage: Eukaryota; Viridiplantae; Streptophyta; Magnoliopsida; Solanales; Solanaceae
Exons: 3
Source: RefSeq, a predicted model, not a curated record